This 1604-nucleotide ribosomal RNA is filed under the name Salmonella enterica subsp. enterica serovar Bovismorbificans. RNAcentral's name for it is "partial 23S ribosomal RNA". It matches the Rfam family "Bacterial large subunit ribosomal RNA", at positions 1216 to 2802 of the family's 2925-position model. The record is from RNAcentral. Lineage: Bacteria; Pseudomonadati; Pseudomonadota; Gammaproteobacteria; Enterobacterales; Enterobacteriaceae.
UACGUUCGUUGGGUAGGGGAGCGUUCUGUAAGCCUGUGAAGGUGGCCUGUGAGGGUUGCUGGAGGUAUCAGAAGUGCGAAUGCUGACAUAAGUAACGAUAAAGCGGGUGAAAAGCCCGCUCGCCGGAAGACCAAGGGUUCCUGUCCAACGUUAAUCGGGGCAGGGUGAGUCGACCCCUAAGGCGAGGCCGAAAGGCGUAGUCGAUGGGAAACGGGUUAAUAUUCCCGUACUUGGUGUUACUGCGAAGGGGGGACGGAGAAGGCUAUGUUGGCCGGGCGACGGUUGUCCCGGUUUAAGCGUGUAGGUGUGUGUUCCAGGUAAAUCCGGUUCACUUUAACACUGAGGCGUGAUGACGAGGCACUACGGUGCUGAAGCAACAAAUGCCCUGCUUCCAGGAAAAGCCUCUAAGCAUCAGGUAACAUCAAAUCGUACCCCAAACCGACACAGGUGGUCAGGUAGAGAAUACCAAGGCGCUUGAGAGAACUCGGGUGAAGGAACUAGGCAAAAUGGUGCCGUAACUUCGGGAGAAGGCACGCUGACACGUAGGUGAAGUGAUUUACUCAUGGAGCUGAAGUCAGUCGAAGAUACCAGCUGGCUGCAACUGUUUAUUAAAAACACAGCACUGUGCAAACACGAAAGUGGACGUAUACGGUGUGACGCCUGCCCGGUGCCGGAAGGUUAAUUGAUGGGGUCAGCGCAAGCGAAGCUCCUGAUCGAAGCCCCGGUAAACGGCGGCCGUAACUAUAACGGUCCUAAGGUAGCGAAAUUCCUUGUCGGGUAAGUUCCGACCUGCACGAAUGGCGUAAUGAUGGCCAGGCUGUCUCCACCCGAGACUCAGUGAAAUUGAACUCGCUGUGAAGAUGCAGUGUACCCGCGGCAAGACGGAAAGACCCCGUGAACCUUUACUAUAGCUUGACACUGAACAUUGAGCCUUGAUGUGUAGGAUAGGUGGGAGGCUUUGAAGUGUGGACGCCAGUCUGCAUGGAGCCGGCCUUGAAAUACCACCCUUUAAUGUUUGAUGUUCUAACGUGGACCCGUUACCCGGGUUGCGGACAGUGUCUGGUGGGUAGUUUGACUGGGGCGGUCUCCUCCUAAAGAGUAACGGAGGAGCACGAAGGUUGGCUAAUCCUGGUCGGACAUCAGGAGGUUAGUGCAAUGGCAUAAGCCAGCUUGACUGCGAGCGUGACGGCGCGAGCAGGUGCGAAAGCAGGUCAUAGUGAUCCGGUGGUUCUGAAUGGAAGGGCCAUCGCUCAACGGAUAAAAGGUACUCCGGGGAUAACAGGCUGAUACCGCCCAAGAGUUCAUAUCGACGGCGGUGUUUGGCACCUCGAUGUCGGCUCAUCACAUCCUGGGGCUGAAGUAGGUCCCAAGGGUAUGGCUGUUCGCCAUUUAAAGUGGUACGCGAGCUGGGUUUAGAACGUCGUGAGACAGUUCGGUCCCUAUCUGCCGUGGGCGCUGGAGAACUGAGGGGGGCUGCUCCUAGUACGAGAGGACCGGAGUGGACGCAUCACUGGUGUUCGGGUUGUCAUGCCAAUGGCACUGCCCGGUAGCUAAAUGCGGAAGAGAUAAGUGCUGAAAGCAUCUAAGCACGAAACUUGCCCCGA